AUGGUAUAUGUUUCAUAAACAUAUGAACUCAAUUUCUAAGCAUUCAUCGUGCUUUCUACGUCUACGACGAAUCAAAUACUAAAGCAAUCCAUAUAUCAAUAAUCAUAAUCCAUUAAAAAGCUAUCUACGAAAUAACUACGCAUGGAUCAAGAAUAUAUCAGGAAAUAUAAGUCAUUCAAAGCAAAAGUUUAGAGUUUACUUCAAAGAGC
This 209-nucleotide long non-coding RNA is filed under the name Phoenix dactylifera (date palm). Its description in RNAcentral is "long non-coding RNA (PDAC_LNC010003)". Lineage: Eukaryota; Viridiplantae; Streptophyta; Magnoliopsida; Arecales; Arecaceae. The record is from RNAcentral.